Molecule: long non-coding RNA, 646 nt
Filed under: Androctonus crassicauda
Lineage: Eukaryota; Metazoa; Arthropoda; Arachnida; Scorpiones; Buthidae
Source: RNAcentral
UAGGUAGCCAGUUAUUAUUAAAAAUUGUUAUAAAUCAUAAGUAUUUGGUUUAACAUUUUAAAUAACGUUUUACUAAUUAUUAUGAUGUUUUGUAAUUGAAGGCAAUUUUUAUGCAUUUUGCUAAUACAAAUUAAAAAUAAAUAAAACUUGAAACAAAAAUGAUAAAUGGUGAUAUAUUAUCAUUCUACAAUAAAUUAAACUUUAUUACAUCAUCAUAAUAUGGUUUUUCCAACAUGAAUAAUUAAUUCGCGCUAAAUUCGCCAUUUAGACCACUGUGCGACGGUUGGGCAGAUGAGGAGAACUAUCGGGACCCGUGGUGGGAGGAUGCUGCCGUCACGGCAGUUCAGAGCGAUUGGGAAUCGCCGGAGGGGAGAAGUAAAAUUGCUCCAUCAAGCAAAGUCAGCAAUCCACACGACGUGCAGGAGGCGAUGAACACGGGGGAGGCAAUCCGACGCGACUCCCACGGGAGCAUGGGGGUAUCCGUGGUGUUUCCCCAGGGGUAUGCUUGCCCGGAGUCCUGCAGAGCGGCAUUGGCCGACUUUCAUAGUCGGAACGAUGUAAGCAGUACUCCACUGGCAGGACCGGGGGCUACCACCAACCGGGACGAAAAAAACUUCGUCAGGUCAAUCUCCACUUUGUCAAUUCC